CAUACUAGCUCAUUUGGUAGAGCAACUAACUCAUAAUUAGUAGGUAACAGGUUCGAUUCCUGUGUAUUUUCCCA
This 74-nucleotide transfer RNA is filed under the name Hormoscilla sp. SP12CHS1. Its description in RNAcentral is "tRNA-Met". The stretch from base 2 to 67 matches the Rfam family "tRNA". From Rfam's summary of the family: Transfer RNA (tRNA) molecules are approximately 80 nucleotides in length. The record is from RNAcentral. Lineage: Bacteria; Bacillati; Cyanobacteriota; Cyanophyceae; Gomontiellales; Gomontiellaceae.